RNAcentral lists this ribosomal RNA (385 nucleotides) under uncultured bacterium. RNAcentral's name for it is "bacterial SSU rRNA". It matches the Rfam family "Bacterial small subunit ribosomal RNA", at positions 29 to 414 of the family's 1533-position model. The record is from RNAcentral.
ACGAACGCUGGCGGCGUGCUUAACACAUGCAAGUCGAGCGGUAAGGCCCUUUCGGGGGUACGACGAGCGGCGAACGGGUGAGUAACACGUGGGUGACCUGCCCUCAGCUCUGGGAUAAGCCUGGGAAACCGGGUCUAAUACCGGAUAUGACUCCAUGACGCAUGUUGGUGGGGUGGAAAGCCUUGUGCGGCUGAGGAUGGGCCCGCGGCCUAUCAGCUUGUUGGUGGGGUGANGGCCUACCAAGGCGACGACGGGUAGCCGGCCUGAGAGGGCGACCGGCCACACUGGGACUGAGACACGGCCCAGACUCCUACGGGAGGCAGCAGUAGGGAAUCUUGCGCAAUGGGCGAAAGCCUGACGCAGCAACGCCGCGUGGGGAUGACGG